UGAAGGUCAGGCUGAAGACCUUACCCGAUUAGCUGAGAGGUGGUGCAUGGCCGUCGUCAGUUCGUACUGUGAAGCAUCCUGUUAAGUCAGGCAACGAGCGAGACCCACGUCCACAGUUGCCAGCAUACCCCUCCGGGGUGAUGGGUACACUGUGGAGACCGCCGCUGCUAAAGCGGAGGAAGGAGUGGGCAACGGUAGGUCAGUAUGCCCCGAAUCUCCCGGGCUACACGCGGGCUACAAUGGUUGGUACAAUGGGCAUCUACCCCGAAAGGGGAAGGAAAUCUCUUAAAGCCAAUCGUAGUUCGGAUUGAGGGCUGCAACUCGCCCUCAUGAAGCUGGAAUCCGUAGUAAUCGCGUUUCAACAGAACGCGGUGAAUACGUCCCUGCUCCUU
RNAcentral lists this ribosomal RNA (392 nucleotides) under uncultured Methanosaeta sp. RNAcentral's name for it is "bacterial SSU rRNA". It matches the Rfam family "Archaeal small subunit ribosomal RNA", at positions 948 to 1338 of the family's 1478-position model. The record is from RNAcentral. Lineage: Archaea; Methanobacteriati; Methanobacteriota; Methanomicrobia; Methanotrichales; Methanotrichaceae.